This is a non-coding RNA of Brassica rapa (field mustard), 195 nucleotides long. NCBI's taxonomy places the organism in Eukaryota, Viridiplantae, Streptophyta, Magnoliopsida, Brassicales, Brassicaceae. The record is from Rfam.
AUACCUUUCUCGGCCUUUUGGCUAAGAUCAAGUGUACUAUCUGUUCUUAUCAGUUUAAUAUCUGAUAUAUGGUCAUCGACCCAUACGAUAUUAACUAUAUUUAUUUAGGGAGAAGGCCCAUCAAAAUAGUUUGCUAUCUGGGCUUUCGGAAGUCGCUCUUACGUUGCACUACUGCACGGGUCUGGCUCAACCCAU